CGAGGAUUCCUUUAGUAACGGCGAGUGAACAAGGAAAAGCUCAGCGCUGAAUCGCACGGUGGCAUAGCCGUUGUGACCUGUAGCGUAUAGGCAGUGGCCAAAUUGGCUACCAUUCGCCUACUUCAAGUUCCCUUGAGCGGGGCAAGAUCCGCAGAAGGUGAAAGGCCUGUAGAAGUAAGUGGUGGUUGGUCAAAUGUUGGCCACGUUUAAGAGUCGAGUUGCCUGAAAACGCAGCUCAAAUUUGGUGGUAAACCUCAUCUAAAGCUAAAUAUGGCUUCGAGUCCGAUAGCGAACAAGUACCGUGAGGGAAAAUUGCAAAGAACUUCGAGGGGAGAGUUCAAGAGGACGUGAAACCGCUAAGGGGGAAGCGGAUAGAGUUAACAGAUUGAUGGUGGCAUUCAGCCAAUCCAUGCUGUUGGCAGUGUAUGCGGUGUACUCGGGGCUACCGGGCGCUCAUAUGUUGCCUGCAGUAUUGCUAUCGAUUGGUGGGUUUGCCAUCAUUGUCGCACUGAGGCGCUUGGGGUGGUGUGCUGAAGCGGUUUCUGUAGAGGACUACGUUGCUUGUCGGCGUAGAACCCUACGGCUGUUGAUGCAUAUUCGCCGUAAGCGCAUGACAAGAGUACUGCCCGCAGUUGUGCAUCUAUCGGUUAUGUUUUGUCACCAGCGGUAGCUGCCAGUGUCUUGUUUGUCGCACUGUGUAGUUGCCGUUUUGGUGGCACGUGGCCGAACUAUGGUGCGAUGGCGGCUGGACUGGUCUCGGUGUUAAAUGUUGAUCACCUAUCCGA
RNAcentral lists this ribosomal RNA (785 nucleotides) under Syphabulea tjanschani. RNAcentral describes it as "partial 28S ribosomal RNA". It matches the Rfam family "Eukaryotic large subunit ribosomal RNA", at positions 69 to 647 of the family's 3401-position model. Lineage: Eukaryota; Metazoa; Nematoda; Chromadorea; Rhabditida; Oxyuridae. The record is from RNAcentral.